UGGGGAAUUUUGGACAAUGGGCGAAAGCCUGAUCCAGCAAUGCCGCGUGUGUGAAGAAGGCCUUCGGGUUGUAAAGCACUUUUGUCCGGAAAGAAAUCCUUGGCUCUAAUACAGUCGGGGGAUGACGGUACCGGAAGAAUAAGCACCGGCUAACUACGUGCCAGCAGCCGCGGUAAUACGUAGGGUGCAAGCGUUAAUCGGAAUUACUGGGCGUAAAGCGUGCGCAGGCGGUUUGCCAAGACCGAUGUGAAAUCCCCGGGCUCAACCUGGGAACUGCAUUGGUGACUGGCAGGCUAGAGUAUGGCAGAGGGGGGUAGAAUUCCACGUGUAGCAGUGAAAUGCGUAGAGAUGUGGAGGAAUACCGAUGGCGAAGGCAGCCCCCUGGGCCAAUACUGACGCUCAUGCACGAAAGCGUGGGGAGCAAACAGGAUUAGAUACCCUGGUAGUCCACGCCCUAAACGAUGUCAACUAGUUGUUGGGGAUUCAUUUCCUUAGUAACGUAGCUAACGCGUGAAGUUGACCGCCUGGGGGAGUACGGUCGCAAGAUUAAAACUCAAAUGAAUUGACGGGGUCAUAGCUGUUUCCU
Molecule: ribosomal RNA, 586 nt
Filed under: uncultured bacterium
Lineage: Bacteria
Description: partial 16S ribosomal RNA
Rfam family: Bacterial small subunit ribosomal RNA
Source: RNAcentral